Molecule: ribosomal RNA, 576 nt
Filed under: uncultured bacterium
Lineage: Bacteria
Description: bacterial SSU rRNA
Rfam family: Bacterial small subunit ribosomal RNA
Source: RNAcentral
UACGGGAGGCAGCAGUGAGGAAUAUUGGUCAAUGGGCGUUAGCCUGAACCAGCCAAGUAGCGUGAAGGAUGACUGCCCUAUGGGUUGUAAACUUCUUUUAUAAGGGAAUAAAACGGGGAACGUGUUCCCCCUUGCAUGUACCUUACGAAUAAGGAUCGGCUAACUCCGUGCCAGCAGCCGCGGUAAUACGGAGGGUCCGAGCGUUAUCCGGAUUUAUUGGGUUUAAAGGGUGCGUAGGCGGAAUGAUCAGUCAGUUGUGAAAGUUUGAGGCUCAACCUUAAAAUUGCAGUUGAUACUGUCAUUCUUGAGUGUACAAGAGGUGGGCGGAAUUCGUGGUGUAGCGGUGAAAUGCUUAGAUAUCACGAAGAACUCCGAUUGCGAAGGCAGCUCACUGGGGUACAACUGACGCUGAGGCACGAAAGUGUGGGUAUCAAACAGGAUUAGAUACCCUGGUAGUCCACACAGUAAACGAUGAAUACUCGCUGUUUGCGAUAUACAGUAAGCGGCUAAGCGAAAGCGUUAAGUAUUCCACCUGGGGAGUACGCCGGCAACGGUGAAACUCAAAGGAAUUGACGG